RNAcentral lists this ribosomal RNA (529 nucleotides) under uncultured Veillonellaceae bacterium. Its description in RNAcentral is "bacterial SSU rRNA". It matches the Rfam family "Bacterial small subunit ribosomal RNA", at positions 28 to 523 of the family's 1533-position model. The record is from RNAcentral. Lineage: Bacteria; Bacillati; Bacillota; Negativicutes; Veillonellales; Veillonellaceae.
GACGAACGCUGGCGGCGUGCUUAACACAUGCAAGUCGAACGGGAAGACAUGAAGAGCUUGCUCUUUAUGAAAUCCAGUGGCAAACGGGUGAGUAACACGUAAACAACCUGCCUUCAGGAUGGGGACAACAGACGGAAACGACUGCUAAUACCGAAUACGAUUCUUGAGUCGCAUGACACAAGAAAGAAAGGGUGGCCUCUACUUGUAAGCUAUCGCCUGAAGAGGGGUUUGCGUCCGAUUAGGUAGUUGGUGAGGUAACGGCCCACCAAGCCGACGAUCGGUAGCCGGUCUGAGAGGAUGAACGGCCACAUUGGAACUGAGACACGGUCCAGACUCCUACGGGAGGCAGCAGUGGGGAAUCUUCCGCAAUGGGCGAAAGCCUGACGGAGCAACGCCGCGUGAGUGAAGACGGCCUUCGGGUUGUAAAACUCUGUGAUUCGGGACGAAAGAUAAGCAGACGAAUAAUCUGCAUAAGUGACGGUACCGAAAAAGCAAGCCACGGCUAACUACGUGCCAGCCGCCGCGGUAA